UGAUGAUAUUUGUGGGCGAGUAUGCUUCUGGUGCAUGUUCAUUACAUUCAUGACUAGAUCCAUACUCGUCUGCAGCCAUCAAUG
Molecule: microRNA precursor, 84 nt
Organism: Operophtera brumata (winter moth)
Lineage: Eukaryota; Metazoa; Arthropoda; Insecta; Lepidoptera; Geometridae
Source: Rfam